Molecule: long non-coding RNA, 808 nt
Filed under: Salmo salar (Atlantic salmon)
Lineage: Eukaryota; Metazoa; Chordata; Actinopteri; Salmoniformes; Salmonidae
Description: lncRNA (ENSSSAG00000111928.1)
Source: RNAcentral
CUGCCCUGUUGUGGACAGACCUGCUAGUCUCCUGUGAAGGUGGAUAUCUCUGCCCUGUUGUGGACAGACCUCCUAGUCUCCUGUGAAGGUGGAUAUCUCUGCCCUGUUGUGGACAGACCUGCUAGUCUCCUGUGAUGGUGGAUAUCUCUGCCAUGUUGUGGACAGACCUGCUCGUCUCCUGUGAAGGUGGAUAUCUCUGCCCUGUUCUGGACAGACCUGCUAGUCUCCUGUGAAGGUGGAUAUCUCUGCCCUGUUGUUGACCCAGACCUGCUAGUCUCCUAUGAUGGUGGAUAUCUCUGCCCUGUUGUGGACAGACUUGCUAGUCUCCUGUGAAAGUCGAUAUCUCUGCCCUGUUGUGGAUAGACCUGCUAGUCUCCUGUGAAGGUAGAUAUCUCUGCCCUGUUGUGGACAGACCUGCUAGUCUCCUGUGAAGGUGGAUAUCUCUGCCCUGUUGUGGACAGACCUGCUAGUCUCCUGUGAAGGUGGAUAUCUCUGCCCUGUUGUGGACAGACCCGCUAGUCUCCUGUGAAGGUGGAUAUCUCUGCCCUGUUGUGGACAGACCCGCUAGUCUCCUGUGAAGGUGGAUAUCUCUGCCCUGUUGUGGACAGACCCGCUAGUCUCCUGUGAAGGUGGAUAUCUCUGCCCUGUUGUGGACAGACCUGCUAGUCUCCUGUGAAGGUGGAUAUCUCUGCCCUGUUGUGGACAGACCCGCUAGUCUCCAGUGAAGGUGGAUAUCUCUGCCCUGUUGUGGACAGACCUGCUAGUCUCCUGUGAAGGUGGAUAUCUCUGCCCUGUUGUGGACCCAGAC